Molecule: long non-coding RNA, 362 nt
Organism: Alexandromys fortis (reed vole)
Lineage: Eukaryota; Metazoa; Chordata; Mammalia; Rodentia; Cricetidae
Exons: 3
Source: RefSeq, a predicted model, not a curated record
ACAGAAGACCUUCCACCUCCAGGCCUUGCCUCUGGGUUUGGCAAAGCAACACACACAGCAGAAAGCAGCCUUCCACCUCUUCAGCUUCCUGGAUGCCUUUCGGGGAAUCAAUCUUCUCUCCCAGCCAAGACAGCCACCUGCCUUCUCAUCUCCCUCAAAAAGCAGCUGCCUAAGGACUCCGGGAUGACAGAAAACCAAUGCUGCUCCAGCCACACCUCUCUCAAAGUUGAGCAUCUUAAAUGAAGUAUAACUCAGAAGAAGACACAACUCUUUAGCUUCCAGUUCCCUGGUUGCCACAAGUGAACAGGGCUGUGUAGCUCCCACCAGCUCAGGAGAACACGGCUCACAGCCCAGAAGCUUGC